Molecule: long non-coding RNA, 925 nt
Organism: Panicum virgatum (switchgrass)
Lineage: Eukaryota; Viridiplantae; Streptophyta; Magnoliopsida; Poales; Poaceae
Exons: 2
Source: RefSeq, a predicted model, not a curated record
AAUAUCCAAUCCUUUAAUCUGGUAGCCAUUGAAGACCACCAGUCCACCAUACUAUACUAGCACUGGUAUCUGUGCAUAGCUCGCAUUCAAUGCUGUGGACGAGGUUGGCAUCAUCUUUAUCGUCAUCAUGCGGCCGCCUCGCCUACUCGGCUAUUUCUAGUGGCGGCAGCAAAGCUUAUAUAGGCGGCAGCUGCUCAAAAAAAAAAAACUUAUAUAGGCGGCAGUCAUCGCCGUCUUUAAUAACUGACUAAAAGAGAAGAGAACAACACAAGAGGAGAGAGGCUCAGCUCCUGGGGUUGAAGAGGGAGGGAGGAUGGAGAGCAGCAACCUUGAGGUCUUCCUGGAGGCUGCCACUCCACAAUUGCCGGCGGUCGGCUCCCAUGGACUGUUUCCAAGGACCAAACAAUGUUUGGCAAGUGGACAAGAAAGAUGUGGUGAACUACUUCAGCCUUGAGGAUUUGUGGGAGCAUUAUUCUGAGAGCAGCGCGUAUGGCCUCGGUGUUCCUGUCCGUCUGGAAAAUGGCAAGUUCAUCACCCAGCAUUAUGUUUUUGUUGACGCAAAAAUCAACACACUAUGAUCCGAGGGCAAAUAUUCGCUAAGCAUGGAAAGUAGACCAAGCGUGCCAGUCAAUUUGGUCUGAAAUUGAUAAGGAAAAAAACAAAAUCAAAUCCGAGAGCGUAUCGGCUGGGAUUCCGAAUGUCUCUCGUAUAUGUGUAUCGGCAAGCUCUGCCGAUACAGAAGGCGACAAAAAGAUAUUAAAUGCGAGCGUGUAGUAAAAGAGCGCGUCGGCGGGAUCAGCCGAUACACUAAACGACAAAACCGGCUUAGGGUAGCUGAUUUCGCGUGUAUAACAAGAUCUAAGCUGCGAAUGUACAACUUAGAUGACGUAAACUAAAAACAAAUUUAAACCGGCUCUUGAGAUAA